Non-coding RNA from Schistocerca gregaria, 73 nucleotides. Lineage: Eukaryota; Metazoa; Arthropoda; Insecta; Orthoptera; Acrididae. The record is from the annotation of a RefSeq genome assembly.
GCUGUGGUGGUGUAAUGGUCAGCAUACCUGCCUAGUAAGUACGAAGUCCCGGGUUCGAGUCCCGGCCGCGGCA